AGAGUUUGAUCCUGGCUCAGAUUGAACGCUGGUAGCAUGCUUAACACAUGCAAGUCGAACGGUAACAUAAGGAGCUUGCUCCUUGAUGACGAGUGGCGGACGGGUGAGUAACGCGUAGGAAUCUACCCAUUUGAGGGGGAUACCAGUUGGAAACGACUGUUAAUACCGCAUAAUAUCUGCGGAUUAAAGGUGGCCUUUGUGCUGCCGCAGAUGGAUGAGCCUGCGUUGGAUUAGCUAGUUGGUGGGGUAAGGGCCUACCAAGGCUACGAUCCAUAGCUGAUUUGAGAGGAUGAUCAGCCACAUUGGGACUGAGACACGGCCCAAACUCCUACGGGAGGCAGCAGUGGGGAAUAUUGGACAAUGGGGGAAACCCUGAUCCAGCAAUGCCAUGUGUGUGAAGAAGGCUCUAGGGUUGUAAAGCACUUUAGUUGGGGAGGAAAGCUCAUGAGUUAAUAGCUUGUGGGAAGGACGUUACCCAAAGAAGAAGCACCGGCUAACUCCGUGCCAGCAGCCGCGGUAAUACGGAGGGUGCAAGCGUUAAUCGGAAUUACUGGGCGUAAAGCGCGCGUAGGCGGCUUGUUAAGCCAGAUGUGAAAGCCCCGGGCUCAACCUGGGAACUGCAUUUGGAACUGGCAGGCUAGAGUACAGUAUAGGGUGGUGGAAUUUCCAGUGUAGCGGUGAAAUGCGUAGAGAUUGGAAGGAACAUCAGUGGAGAAGGCGGCCCCCUGGAUUGAAACUGACACUGAGGUGCGAAAGCGUGGGGAGCAAACAGGAUUAGAUACCCUGGUAGUCCACGCCGUAAACGAUGUCUACUAGCCGUUGGGGAGCUUGCCUCCUUAGUGGCGCAGCUAACGCGAUAAGUAGACCGCCUGGGGAGUACGGUCGCAAGAUUAAAGCUCAAAUGAAUUGACGGGGGCCCGCACAAGCGGUGGAGCAUGUGGUUUAAUUCGAUGCAACGCGAAGAACCUUACCAGGUCUUGACAUCCUGCGAAUUUUCUAGAGAUAGAUUAGUGCCUUCGGGAACGCAGUGACAGGUGCUGCAUGGCUGUCGUCAGCUCGUGUUGUGAAAUGUUGGGUUAAGUCCCGUAACGAGCGCAACCCUUAUCCUUAUUUGCCAGCACGUAAUGGUGGGAACUCUAAGGAGACUGCCGGUGACAAACCGGAGGAAGGUGGGGACGACGUCAAGUCAUCAUGGCCCUUACGACCUGGGCUACACACGUGCUACAAUGGAACGCACAGAGGGUUGCAACCUCGCGAGAGUGAGCCAAUCCCAUAAAACGUUUCGUAGUCCGGAUCGGAGUCUGCAACUCGACUCCGUGAAGUCGGAAUCGCUAGUAAUCGCGGAUCAGAAUGCCGCGGUGAAUACGUUCCCGGGCCUUGUACACACCGCCCGUCACACCAUGGGAGUGGGUUGCUCCAGAAGUGGUUAGCCUAACCUUCGGGAGGGCGAUCACCACGGAGUGAUUCAUGACUGGGGUGAAGUCGUAACAAGGUA
RNAcentral lists this ribosomal RNA (1495 nucleotides) under uncultured prokaryote. RNAcentral's name for it is "partial 16S ribosomal RNA". It matches the Rfam family "Bacterial small subunit ribosomal RNA". The record is from RNAcentral.